RNAcentral lists this ribosomal RNA (423 nucleotides) under uncultured Victivallis sp. Its description in RNAcentral is "bacterial SSU rRNA". It matches the Rfam family "Bacterial small subunit ribosomal RNA", at positions 355 to 794 of the family's 1533-position model. Lineage: Bacteria; Pseudomonadati; Lentisphaerota; Lentisphaeria; Victivallales; Victivallaceae. The record is from RNAcentral.
UCGAGAAUCUUGGGCAAUGCGCGAAAGCGUGACCCAGCAAUGCCGCGUGCAUGAUGAAGGCCCUCGGGUCGUAAAAUGCUGUCUCCCGUGACGAAUAAUGACGGUAGCGGGGAAGGAAGCCACGGCUAACUACGUGCCAGCAGCCGCGGUAAUACGUAGGUGGCGAGCGUUGUUCGGAUUUAUUGGGCGUAAAGGGUCUGUAGGAGGUUUGUUAAAUACGAGGUGAAAUCCGGGGGCUCAACUUCCGAAUUGCCUUGUAGACUGAUGAACUAGAGUACUGGAGAGGUAAGCGGAAUACCAGGUGUAGCGGUGGAAUGCGUAGAUAUCUGGUAGAACACCAAUAGCGAAGGCAGCUUGCUGGACAGAAACUGACUCUGAAAGACGAAAGCAUGGGGAGCAAACAGGAUUAGAUACCCUGGUAGU